RNAcentral lists this long non-coding RNA (836 nucleotides) under Gossypium barbadense (sea-island cotton). RNAcentral describes it as "long non-coding RNA (GBAR_LNC006167)". The record is from RNAcentral. Lineage: Eukaryota; Viridiplantae; Streptophyta; Magnoliopsida; Malvales; Malvaceae.
GAAAAAGGGGGCUCUCCGGCCCCGGCCUCAGGCCUCCGGCCACUGGACUGCGAGUGCCCACACGCUGUAUGCGCCGUUGUGUACGGCGGCGGGAAGGCUAAAAUCUCUCCUUCCUCUCGGCCCAAACGCAGGUAAUCUCUUCUUUCUUAUUGUUAACACUAUUUACAUGCAAAAAAAAGAAAAAGAAAGGAAUAGAGCAAAUAAAUCACCUCUGUUUUUUGGUAUGAAAAUUUCCUAUAUUUUUUAUUUCUGUAAAUAUAUGCGUAUAUCUCUUUUGUCUCUGUCCAAAAAAAAUCCCCUUUUACAAGUUACAAAGGAGGCUUUUAUAGCCACCGUUUCAUAUUCAGGAAGAAAUCUUUUUAUUUCUUUCUAUAUCUGUUUUGCUUGUUUGCUGCUGUUUCUUUCUUUCCUUUUGCAGGUAUCUAGCGAGGAAAUCAGUGGACCAGAAUGAUUAGGCCUUGACGACGACGGUGUUGGCGCUGAUCCGCGUUUAUUCGGCUUCAACUACGGCCAGAUUUUAGGCCGGGAAUCACGGCGUCAAGGGGGUAGAUGAACGACGCAUCGAUUACGGUGUUUAGCUUCUAGAGCCUUCCAUUUGCGGCGCCUAGGGUUUUUGAAACCCUAGGGCUUUCCGUGUUCUGUUAGCAUCUUGGGCUAUUUGGGCCUUGUAUGUCUUGGGUUAAGGGGUUAAUAGAUUUUGGGGCCAAAGAUUGGGUUGUAGCCGGGUACUGGGUUUUGGGUAGUUUAGCUGGGCUACGGGUUAAUGGAUUAGUAGGCUAUAGUAUUGAGUUUGUAAACUGGACUGAAAUAAAUAAACUUUUAUUUAUUUAUUUUUA